UACGGAGGAUGCGAGCGUUAUCCGGAUUUAUUGGGUUUAAAGGGUGCGUAGGCGGAUUUUUAAGUCAGCGGUAAAAUGUCCGGGCUCAACCCGGGCCGGCCGUUGGAACUGGGGAUCUUGAGUGGGCGAGAAGUAUGCGGAAUGCGUGGUGUAGCGGUGAAAUGCAUAGAUAUCACGCAGAACUCCGAUUGCGAAGGCAGCAUACCGGCGCCCGACUGACGCUGAGGCACGAAAGCGUGGGGAUCGAACGGG
Molecule: ribosomal RNA, 252 nt
Filed under: uncultured bacterium
Lineage: Bacteria
Description: partial 16S ribosomal RNA
Rfam family: Bacterial small subunit ribosomal RNA
Source: RNAcentral